AAUCAACGCUGGCGGCGUGCCUCAGACAUGCAAGUCGAACGCGAAAUUUCCCCGGCAAGGGGAGAAAGUAGAGUGGCGCACGGGUGAGUAACACGUAGGUAAUUUGCCUUCGGGUGGGGAAGUAACAGCCGGAAACGGCUGCUAAUACCGCAUAAUGCAGCGGCUCGACAUCGAGACAGUUGUUAAAGGCGGGGAUUCGCAACGAACCUCGCGCCUGAAGAGAAGCCUGCGGCAGAUUAGCUAGUUGGUAGGGUAACGGCCUACCAAGGCAACGAUCUGUAG
This 282-nucleotide ribosomal RNA is filed under the name uncultured bacterium. RNAcentral's name for it is "partial 16S ribosomal RNA". It matches the Rfam family "Bacterial small subunit ribosomal RNA", at positions 32 to 286 of the family's 1533-position model. The record is from RNAcentral.